GACGAACGCUGGCGGCGUGCUUAACACAUGCAAGUCGAACGGAAAGGCCCUGCUUUUGUGGGGUGCUCGAGUGGCGAACGGGUGAGUAACACGUGAGUAACCUGCCCUUGACUUUGGUAUAACUUCAGGAAACUGGGGCUAAUACCGGAUAGGAGCUCCUGCUGCAUGGUGGGGGUUGGAAAGUUUCGGCGGUUGGGGAUGGACUCGCGGCUUAUCAGCUUGUUGGUGGGGUAGUGGCUUACCAAGGCUUUGACGGGUAGCCGGCCUGAGAGGGUGACCGGCCACAUUGGGACUGAGAUACGGACCAGACUCCUACGGGAGGCAGCAGUGGGGAAUAUUGCACAAUGGGCGGAAGCCUGAUGAAGAAACGCCGCGUGCGGGAUGACGGCCUUCGGGUUGUAAACAGCUUUAGCCUGUGACGAAGCGUGAGUGACGGUAAUGGGUAAAGAAGCACCGGCUAACUACGUG
Molecule: ribosomal RNA, 468 nt
Filed under: uncultured bacterium
Lineage: Bacteria
Description: partial 16S ribosomal RNA
Rfam family: Bacterial small subunit ribosomal RNA
Source: RNAcentral